Molecule: long non-coding RNA, 275 nt
Filed under: Elaeis guineensis (African oil palm)
Lineage: Eukaryota; Viridiplantae; Streptophyta; Magnoliopsida; Arecales; Arecaceae
Description: long non-coding RNA (EGUI_LNC035793)
Source: RNAcentral
UGACCGCAAGAGCAUCCAUGGAUCAAUUGGGACAGAAGUAGACUCACCAAUUAUAUUGCAAAAACACGCUGCAAAUCAUAUCGGAUAGAUCUGUGCAUUGAGAGUAGCUCGCCAUGCCCAAGGCGCAUGCCUUGUGGACACGUUUCCACAUGAGAAUGUUAUCGUGAACCCUCUACUGUUUUCAAAUUGCCCUGGAAGAGUGAAUAGACUUGGCCGCUAUCUAGUCAAGUAUCUUCCCCUUAGGCGGCAGAGAUAAACCAAUUUGUAGACGGGAC